Molecule: ribosomal RNA, 438 nt
Filed under: Triticum aestivum (bread wheat)
Lineage: Eukaryota; Viridiplantae; Streptophyta; Magnoliopsida; Poales; Poaceae
Description: partial small subunit ribosomal RNA
Source: RNAcentral
AUGUUGAUACGUCUGAUCCUGUGGACUAGCAUAGCAAAUGUAAAUGUGAAUGUGAAGGUGGAUUCCAUCAAAUUGUCUGUGCAGGUUAGGGUUGUCCUUGAUGCUUUAUACAGACAACGUGUUCAGAUAUCUUUCAUUGGACAGACCUCUAACGUGAUCAUAUUGCUAUUUUCAUCUUUUGGAUUUGCAUAUAAUGUUGACACCACAUGUGAAUCUGAAGCCACUCGUGCUAAGCAUUCCCUGGUUUGCCAGCUUGUGUGUUUCACUAAUGGUGAAGGUAUGAAUCUGUUUCUUUACUGUGCAGGUGUGCACACACCUUCCAUCACUAAUGGAGUUGAAUGUGGCCGGGGUCGCGCUGCUAAAGCACUGCAUCUUCUGCGUUGCACGUGGCGACUAGAUGUAUCAAUAGUGACGAAGCAAGGUGAGUGGGAGCUCUAG